CCUACGGGGAGCAGCAGUGAGGAAUAUUGGUCAAUGGACGGAAGUCUGAACCAGCCAUGCCGCGUGCAGGAAGACGGCUCUAUGAGUUGUAAACUGCUUUUGUACAAGGGUAAACCUGAAUACGUGUAUUCAGCUGAAAGUACUGUACGAAUAAGGAUCGGCUAACUCCGUGCCAGCAGCCGCGGUAAUACGUAGGUGGCAAGCGUUGUUCGGAAUAACUGGGCGUAAAGGAUGCGUAGGCGGUUAAACAAGGUAUAUGUUAAAUAUAUAGGCUUAACCUGUAGAAAGCAUAUAAAACUGUUUAACUAGAGUGCAGGAGAGGGAAGUGGAAUUCCUAGUGUAGCGGUGAAAUGCGUAGAGAUGAGGAAGAACACCAGUGGCGAAGGCGACUUACUGGACUGUAACUGACGCUGAGGCAUGAGAGCAUGGGGAGCAAACAGGAUUAGAUACCCUGGUAGUC
RNAcentral lists this ribosomal RNA (460 nucleotides) under uncultured bacterium. Its description in RNAcentral is "partial 16S ribosomal RNA". It matches the Rfam family "Bacterial small subunit ribosomal RNA", at positions 338 to 795 of the family's 1533-position model. The record is from RNAcentral.